GGCAACCACGCCCCUACCCUGGUAGAGGACUGAAGAGACACUCUUGGAAAGGGUUUGGAACUGAGUAUUCUCUGGACUCAGGGACACCAGACAACUCUUGGGCCCGGACUGGGGGACAUCUCAGAAAUGAGGUUUCAGUGAAAGCCUGCACACCAACAAUGAGAAUCCUAGACCCUUCUCCAGUUGGCUCCCAGGAUACUGGUAGAGAAGUUUAUAUUUUGCAGGCAGAAGAUGGGAGGUUUUCUCUCCAAGGGAAAUGAUGAGCCCAAGAAGAAAAAGACACUUGAGGGAAGCUGCGACAUGAAAGUAAGAGAGGCACCAAACAACUUGAAAGGAAAUUUGCCACAAAGACAUAAUGAAUACAGAGAGGGGGGAAAAUACUUCCGAAAUAGUCUUAGUGAGUUAAGAGAACAUUAAUCCUUAAAACAAGAACAGGAAACUAUAAAAAUAAUAUUCAGUAAGAAAAAUAUUUUAUACAUUAAAUUAUGAUGGCAGAAAAUUUGAAAACAUAUGAACGGAAGGUAUGAAAAUUAAGCUUAGUAAAUCUCUCAGAAAGUAGAAUAAGAAGGUAGAGAUGGCCAACAUUAAAGGACAUGAAAUUAGAAAAUCAACCCAGAGUGCUCAAUGUCUAAAUAUUAGGACUUCUGAAAGGACAGAGAAAAAAGGGGAAAUUUAAUAAAGGCACUUGGAUAUUGAUUUCUACCCUGAGAAAUAUCAUCAAGCAUCCAUCCCAUUAAAUUAAAAGAUGCCUUCACAUGUUUAUAUAAUUUUGACAUUAUUUUUGAAAUAUACACCAGGGGAAAAAAAAAAGAGUCCUAGAAAUGUCUGGGGAAAAAAUAAACAGCCCAUAUGCAAAGAGACCUGGAAUAGAAGUAGUAAUUGACUUUUCCAAAGCAACCGUGGAAGCUGGACGACAAUAAAAAAAUUCCUUCAGGGAUCUAUGGAAAAUUAUUUCUAACCUAGAAUUUUCAUUCAGCCAAAUUAUUAAUGGAGUGUGAGGGUAGCAUAAAAAUAUUUUCAGUUGGUACAAAUAUAUUCAUGGGAUCUUAGUAUGCUUCUAAAGGCUGUGCUUCACCAAAUAUGAAAUAAACCAAAAGAGAAGAAGACACAAGAUUCAGUGAACAACUGCACUCUCAAUUUCCUGGAGGAAGGCCCAAGGAGGACUCAGCAGGACCACUGCACAUCAGGCCCUGAGACCCGGUGGUCUGCACUGGGACAGAAUGACUUUCUGAGGGAAACAACUGAAGAGAUAGAUUUGCCGAUGUAUUGAGAAGAGUUUACACCUCGGGGUUUAGGAGUACACAAACUACCCCCUCUGGAAGCAUGUUACAAGAUGGGACUUUCCCGGCUUCAACUUCUUCUGCAAUGGUCUCCACAGACGCCACAGCCAAGUGAAGAAGAUCUUUGCAUGAACACGACCUUUCAGCUGGUGAAUCAGAUGACCAGAAAAAUUCCCCACAUCAGUUUUCUUUAUGGAGUGACCUACACACCGAGAAGAGCCGCUCAGCUCUCAAAACUGCUGUCAUGUAGAUACCUACGUGGAUAAACAAGUAAUGUUUCCACAAAACACCGCAGGUUAGGGCCUCUGCUCAUGGCAGGAUAGAGAAGGCAAAAUAAAGAGGGGGCUUUGGACUGUUGGUUUUGCGUCAUGUAAGCUUUUUUAGUGACCUUUAAUGGGGAGAGAGACUAGAUGCUGAGUUUAAUCACGUAAGACCAGCUCAAGACAAACGGCGCAGUUUUGUUUCCUGUCUGGAAAGAAAAAAAAAAAUUACUCAUGCACUAACAGGAACUGAACGCUGAACACUCCUUUGGUGCUAGAUUUAUUGGAGGAUUUGACGACAAGAAUUUGCUUGCAGUUUUCCACCUUCCCUGUGCUAUUUUCUUAGCCAGUCAUUUUGAAUACCCCUUCCCCAUCUUUAUCCCCCAACCAUUCCUGUUCUUAAGCCAAAUAAAAAGAAAACAUCACUGAAAU
Pan troglodytes (chimpanzee) is the source of this 1972-nucleotide long non-coding RNA. RefSeq lists it as uncharacterized. The record is from RefSeq and is a predicted model, not a curated record. The transcript is spliced from 3 exons. NCBI's taxonomy places the organism in Eukaryota, Metazoa, Chordata, Mammalia, Primates, Hominidae.